CCUACGGGUGGCAGCAGUGGGGAAUAUUGCACAAUGGGGGAAACCCUGAUGCAGCGACGCCGCGUGAGUGAAGAAGUAUUUCGGUAUGUAAAGCUCUAUCAGCAGGAACGAGACAAGACGGUACCUGACUAAGAAGCCCCGGCUAACUACGUGCCAGCAGCCGCGGUAAUACGUAGGGGGCAAGCGUUAUCCGGAAUCACUGGGUGUAAAGGGAGCGUAGACGGCUGUGCAAUGCUGAAGUGAAAGGCGGGGGCCCAAACCCUGGUUUGCUUUGGAGACCGUCCGGCUGGAGGCGAGGGGAGGUAAGUGGAAUUCCGGGUGUAGCGGUGAAAUGCGUAGAUAUUAGGAGGAACACCAGGGGCGAAGGCGGCUUACUGGACUGAAACUGACGUUGAGGCACGAAAGCGUGGGGAGCAAACAGGAUUAGAUACCCUUGUAGUC
RNAcentral lists this ribosomal RNA (441 nucleotides) under uncultured bacterium. RNAcentral's name for it is "partial 16S ribosomal RNA". It matches the Rfam family "Bacterial small subunit ribosomal RNA", at positions 338 to 795 of the family's 1533-position model. The record is from RNAcentral.